Molecule: ribosomal RNA, 468 nt
Filed under: uncultured bacterium
Lineage: Bacteria
Description: partial 16S ribosomal RNA
Rfam family: Bacterial small subunit ribosomal RNA
Source: RNAcentral
GACGAACGCUGGCGGCGUGCUUAACACAUGCAAGUCGAACGGGAAGGCCCUGCUUUUGUGGGGUGCUCGAGUGGCGAACGGGUGAGUAACACGUGAGUAACCUGCCCUUGACUUUGGGAUAACUUCAGGAAACUGGGGCUAAUACCGGAUAGGAGCUCCUGCUGCAUGGUGGGGGUUGGAAAGUUUCGGCGGUUGGGGAUGGACUCGCGGCUUAUCAGCUUGUUGGUGGGGUAGUGGCUUACCAAGGCUUUGACGGGUAGCCGGCCUGAGAGGGUGACCGGCAACAUUGGGACUGAGAUACGGCCCAGACUCCUACGGGAGGCAGCAGUGGGGAAUAUUGCACAAUGGGCGGAAGCCUGAUGCAGCAACGCCGCGUGCGGGAUGACGGCCUUCGGGUUGUAAACCGCUUUCGCCUGUGACGAAGCGUGAGUGACGGUAAUGGGUAAAGAAGCACCGGCUAACUACGUG